Molecule: ribosomal RNA, 257 nt
Filed under: uncultured Gardnerella sp.
Lineage: Bacteria; Bacillati; Actinomycetota; Actinomycetes; Bifidobacteriales; Bifidobacteriaceae
Description: partial 16S ribosomal RNA
Rfam family: Bacterial small subunit ribosomal RNA
Source: RNAcentral
CGGAACGGGUGAGUAAUGCGUGACCAACCUGCCCCAUGCUCCAGAAUAGCUCUUGGAAACGGGUGGUAAUGCUGGAUGCUCCAACUUGACGCAUGUCUUGUUGGGAAAGUGUUUAGUGGCAUGGGAUGGGGUCGCGUCCUAUCAGCUUGUAGGCGGGGUAAUGGCCCACCUAGGCUUCGACGGGUAGCCGGCCUGAGAGGGCGGACGGCCACAUUGGGACUGAGAUACGGCCCAGACUCCUACGGGAGGCAGCAGAU